This 483-nucleotide long non-coding RNA is filed under the name Chinchilla lanigera (long-tailed chinchilla). RNAcentral describes it as "lncRNA (ENSCLAG00000024232.1)". The record is from RNAcentral. Lineage: Eukaryota; Metazoa; Chordata; Mammalia; Rodentia; Chinchillidae.
GUGAAUCUAAGAAGACAACAGAGUAGCCAAUCGAAGAGUUUCCAGAUAUGGACUUUUGGCUGGUGUUGGAGACCAGGAAACCUCGGUGCUCCCAGUCCUGGCACACUGUGCUGGUUCUGAUUUGCUUAGCAGAACACGAUGGUAUCACCAACGCAAGGUCCAAGAGUCCUGGAAGAUGAUCUUGAUGCCUGUAUCCACUGCAUGGCCCCUUCCUGUCUGACGCUGUUUACCUCCUCCACUUCCCGGCCAACAUAAGUGCAGCAGCUUUCAUCUAGCAGACACUUCCUCCACGGUACUUCUGCGCUGGAGGCAGCCAACUGUGAGCCCAAUAAACCCUAUCUUCCUUUACUUUGUGGCUGUUGAGUAUUUUGUCCCAGCAUAGGGGAGGCUAACUAAUGCAGAUAACUGGUACCAGAGAAGUGGGUCCUUGCUGUGACUUUAUCUGACCAUGUGCUUUAGAAUAUUUUGCAACUAAUUUGCAAG